UACGAAGGGGGCUAGCGUUGCUCGGAAUCACUGGGCGUAAAGGGUGCGUAGGCGGGUCUUUAAGUCAGGGGUGAAAUCCUGGAGCUCAACUCCAGAACUGCCCUUGAUACUGGCGAUCUCGAGUUCGGGAGAGGUGAGUGGAACUGCGAGUGUAGAGGUGAAAUUCGUAGAUAUUCGCAAGAACACCAGUGGCGAAAGCGGCACCCUAGCGUUAGCCUGACGCUCAUGUGCGAAAGCGUGGGGAGCGAACGGG
This 253-nucleotide ribosomal RNA is filed under the name uncultured bacterium. RNAcentral's name for it is "partial 16S ribosomal RNA". It matches the Rfam family "Bacterial small subunit ribosomal RNA", at positions 524 to 776 of the family's 1533-position model. The record is from RNAcentral.